Molecule: long non-coding RNA, 434 nt
Filed under: Olea europaea subsp. europaea
Lineage: Eukaryota; Viridiplantae; Streptophyta; Magnoliopsida; Lamiales; Oleaceae
Source: RNAcentral
CAACAAUAGCAAAACCACCCCAUACCUACAACACCGCUCAACGCACCACAAUAACACCACUAUAUCGUCAUCUGAACUUGUGUAAAACCACCAUAGUCGUCACUUGCUUGCGCAGCAACGAUCUCAAAUCAUCCCAAACCACCUGAAAACACAGCUCCAUCUUAGAUAUAAACCACAAUCAACCCCAAACCUCCCAAAAUCACCCCAAAAUCGUGCACAGUGGUGAGCAACAGAUGAAUCUACGUCGAAGCCACCUCUUUUCCUGAUAUUCGCACCAUCACAAGAGCUACCACAAUUCUUCCUCUUGCUACUAGACAAAUCUACGCUAGAGCCACCACUUCUUCCUAUAUUCACCACUGAGCGUGCGGGGUUGCACAGCGACGAUCUGUGCGAGACGCUAAUCGCCGCUUCUUAGCACAGUGUGACUGCGAGUG